GAUGAACGCUGGCGGCGUGCCUAAUACAUGCAAGUCGAGCGAACAGAUGAGGAGCUUGCUCCUCUGACGUUAGCGGCGGACGGGUGAGUAACACGUGGAUAACCUACCUAUAAGACUGGGAUAACUUCGGGAAACCGGAGCUAAUACCGGAUAAUAUAUUGAACCGCAUGGUUCAAUAGUGAAAGACGGUUUUGCUGUCACUUAUAGAUGGAUCCGCGCCGCAUUAGCUAGUUGGUAAGGUAACGGCUUACCAAGGCAACGAUGCGUAGCCGACCUGAGAGGGGGGGCGGCCACACGGGAACUGAGACACGGUCAAGACGCCUACGGGAGGCAGCAGUAGGGAAUCUGCAGAAAUGGGCGAAAGACUGAAGGAGCAACGCCGCGUGAGUGAUGAAGGUAUUAGGAUCGUAAAACUAUGUUAUUAGGGAAGAACAAAUGUGUAAGUAACUAUGCACGUCUUGAAGGUACCUAAUCAGAAAGCAACGGAUAACUACGUG
RNAcentral lists this ribosomal RNA (497 nucleotides) under uncultured bacterium. RNAcentral's name for it is "partial 16S ribosomal RNA". It matches the Rfam family "Bacterial small subunit ribosomal RNA", at positions 28 to 507 of the family's 1533-position model. The record is from RNAcentral.